ACUGGUAGAGGAGCGGUUUUCAAGAGUACCACAUCAUCCAGGCAGGGCGCCGGAUGUGGGAAAGGGAACGCCGCCGAAGGAUUUCUUUCCUGCCCUUUAAGGAAUAAGUCCUGGGCCGGCAUAAAAUAUGUGCCGGACUGUCACGAAUAAAGUGGAGCGCUACCA
This 165-nucleotide non-coding RNA is filed under the name human gut metagenome. RNAcentral's name for it is "Lysine riboswitch". It matches the Rfam family "Lysine riboswitch aptamer". From Rfam's summary of the family: Riboswitches are metabolite binding domains within certain messenger RNAs that serve as precision sensors for their corresponding targets. The record is from RNAcentral.